AGAGUUUGAGUCCUGGGCUCAGGACGAACGCUGGCGGCGUGCUUAACACAUGCAAGUCGACGAAGCUUGAUGAUUGAUUUCUUCGGAAAGAAAUUUGAUAUGACUGAGUGGCGGACGGGUGAGUAACGCGUGAGCAACCCUGCCCUUCAGAGGGGGAUAGCGUCUGGAAACGGACGGUAAUACCGCAUAACGUACAAAGGCCGCAUGACCAUUGUACCAAAACUGAGGUGCUGAAGGAUGGGCUCGCGUUGGAUUAGAUAGUUGGUGGGGUAACGGCCUACCAAGUCGACGAUCCAUAGCCGGACUGAGAGGUUGAACGGCCACAUUGGGACUGAGACACGGCCCAGACUCCUACGGGAGGCAGCAGUGGGGAAUAUUGCACAAUGGGGGAAACCCUGAUGCAGCAACGCCGCGUGAAGGAAGACGGUUUUCGGAUUGUAAACUGCUUUAGACAGGGAAGAAGAAGUGACAGUACCUGUAGAAUAAGCUCCGGCUAACUACGUGCC
RNAcentral lists this ribosomal RNA (506 nucleotides) under uncultured Eubacteriales bacterium. Its description in RNAcentral is "bacterial SSU rRNA". It matches the Rfam family "Bacterial small subunit ribosomal RNA", at positions 8 to 509 of the family's 1533-position model. The record is from RNAcentral. Lineage: Bacteria; Bacillati; Bacillota; Clostridia; Eubacteriales.